GCAGCAUCAUGUUUCCUGAAUUCUGUCUGAAGUGACGCUAUGUGAAAUACAUGGACUGACCUAGUUGGUGUAAAGUUGGAACAACUAAUAGAACAGUUGAUGCAACAGUUUGGAGAAGAUGGAAAACAUGUGAAAUGUACAAUAUUAAUGUUUGAUUAGACGUGAUGAUAACAUAUCAGGAACGUCACAAAGGAGAAUGUUUGACCGCUUACUUGUUUGUAGCAGGAGGUUGACGUCCUUUGAAAUUAAUGGGGUGAUCUUUUGACCAGUCGCUUUUCAAGGACACACAGCUGGGUUCAGGUCCAGGUCCAGGUUCAGGUCCAGGUCCAGGUCCAGGUUCAGGUUCAGGU
This is a long non-coding RNA of Stegastes partitus (bicolor damselfish), 350 nucleotides long. RefSeq lists it as uncharacterized. The transcript is spliced from 3 exons. Lineage: Eukaryota; Metazoa; Chordata; Actinopteri; Pomacentridae. The record is from RefSeq and is a predicted model, not a curated record.